AUAUUUUUUUUUAAAGCUAAGUUCUUUUACCCCUUUCAUUUCUUAGCCUUUUGAUUAAAAACAAACUGAGGCAGUAGCUAUGUGCGAUUAAAGACUUUGAUUUUGGAGCUCAACUCACUGGAAUGAGCUUGAGUUGUUUAUCUUGCUUAUGCUAAGUGUUGCUUCUAUAAUUCUAAGAGUCGAGGCUUUACUAGGGCUUUACUAAUCUGCCAUCAACCUAUGAGUUUGGCUAAAAGAAGCUGAUCCUUUGAUUAUUAAAGCUUGUUACUGAUGUGAGGCUCCUACAGCCAUAAAUCUAUGUUCUUGAGCCUAGCAUGAUGUUCGAAAAAAAAAAAGCAGAGGGUGUGCUUGUGUUAUUUUGAUUGAGAUUCUUAAGUUGUGGUGCCUCUAUAUGAUGAUAUGUAAAUUUGACUGGGAGAAGGGGUGGAGGUGGAAUACCUCUUGAAGCUGCGGCUGCUUUGAGAAUUCAGCUCUUAAAACCUCAGCUUUCUUCCUCUCAACUUGCUAUGUUGCUGGAAAAAUUUGAAGUGUGUAGGAGAGUGAUCAAAGGUGGUGUGGAGGGGAUUUUAUAGGCAAGAGUGUGGCUGGUAGAAACAGGUGCUGCAUAGUGUGGAGGAUUUGCAGGAUUGACUUUCCCCUCUUGGUGAGUCUUUGGUCCUCCAUAGCAAAAGGAAAGGUGAGAGAGAAAUCUUGGCUACUACCUAGCUGUACCUCGAGCGGGCCUGGGUUCGUUGUCUGGGCCGACGGGCUGCUCGAAACGGGCCCUAAUUUGGGCCUGGAGAAAAGGCCCGAAGUGCACCCAAAAUUUUAUAUUUUCCUUUCCUUGUUUUCUUUCUUUGAGGACUUUGAUCCAUGUAACCUAUUUUAUUAGUUGUUCAUUUUAUUGAACA
Long non-coding RNA from Salvia hispanica, 890 nucleotides. RefSeq lists it as uncharacterized. The record is from RefSeq and is a predicted model, not a curated record. Lineage: Eukaryota; Viridiplantae; Streptophyta; Magnoliopsida; Lamiales; Lamiaceae.